This 497-nucleotide ribosomal RNA is filed under the name uncultured bacterium. RNAcentral's name for it is "partial 16S ribosomal RNA". It matches the Rfam family "Bacterial small subunit ribosomal RNA", at positions 28 to 507 of the family's 1533-position model. The record is from RNAcentral.
GAUGAACGCUGGCGGCGUGCCUAACACAUGCAAGUCGAGCGAACGGACGGGAUUCGUCCUGCCCGGAUGUUAGGGGCGGAUGGGUGAGUAACACGUACAUAACCUGCCGAUAAGACUGGGACAACGUCGGGAAACCUGAGCCAACACCCGACAAGAGUUUGAACCGGAGGGUUCAAAAGACCAAGACGUUUUGGCUGGGACGUAGAGAGGGAACCGUGCUGCAUUAGCUAGUUGGUAAGGUAACGGCUUACCAAGGCAACGAUGAGUAGCCGACCUGAGAGGGUGACCGGCCACACUGGAACUGAGACACGGCCCAGACUCCUACGGGAGGCAGCAGUGGGGAAUGUUCGACAAUGGGCGAAAGCCUGACGCAGCAAUGCCGCGUGUGUGAUGAAGGUCUUCGGGUCGUAAAGCUCUGUUAUCGGGAAAGAACAUGUGUGUGACAAUCCCUCGACUUCUUGACGGUACCCACAGAAUAAGCCCCGGCUAACUACGUG